CCUUUAUCCCUCCAGCUAACCAGAUCAUCACACAAUGCUUGUUCAUCAAUUGGUGGUAGAUUCAUCUUCUUCACUAAAGAGUCCAUGUCUUGAAAGGCGUCCAUGAAUGCGAGUUUGGUCCAAUCCGAAAAGUUACAAUGGGCCCACUUAUUUCUGAUGUUUGACCUUACUAUCUUUGCUUGAACUGCAGCGCCAGAUGUUACAAAUGGAUCUGCUUCGCACAUAAUUGCCAAAACUGCAGACAUGUCCAUAGUUUGGUCAAAAGCAGUAAAUUUUGCCAUGAAAGGUUGGACAAACAAUUUUGCCAAAGACAAAGGAUCUUUAACUUUAAAGUCAUAAGCUUUGGGCGACUUGUGGACAUUGUUGUUGUUGAUGUUCUCGUAUUUUAAAGAGAACGUUGAUGGAGGUAGUUUCUUUUGAUGUUUGGAAAACACUUGCUUGUGAAUUUCAUCGGGUGGUCGACACAGCAGAUGAUACCAGUUCUGUAUCUCGGUUGCAAGAACAUUUCUUAACUGAGGAGUAAGAACUUUGUUAAUACAAACGCCAACCACAGCCCAUCUUCGUUCUUCAUCUGAUAUACCGGUACUUGAAGUGGUAGUUAUGGCACUUGCCAUUGGUGAUCUAGAAAUUACACACGAAAAGUGGUGUCAUACUCGUUCACAGGUUGAAAGUUUGAAUAUAACAAGUGACCCCUUUAUUCCAGAUCAAAAUGCUUUACACAGCU
This is a non-coding RNA of Paramuricea clavata, 724 nucleotides long. NCBI's taxonomy places the organism in Eukaryota, Metazoa, Cnidaria, Anthozoa, Malacalcyonacea, Plexauridae. The record is from the annotation of a GenBank genome assembly.